RNAcentral lists this ribosomal RNA (237 nucleotides) under uncultured Eubacteriales bacterium. RNAcentral's name for it is "uncultured Clostridiales bacterium partial 16S ribosomal RNA". It matches the Rfam family "Bacterial small subunit ribosomal RNA", at positions 104 to 339 of the family's 1533-position model. The record is from RNAcentral. Lineage: Bacteria; Bacillati; Bacillota; Clostridia; Eubacteriales.
GGGUGAGUAACGCGUGAGCAACCUGCCUUUCAGAGGGGGAUAACAACGGGAAACCGUUGCUAAUACCGCAUAAUACCGGAUGAUGGCAUCAUCGACCGGUCAAAGGAGCAAUCCGCUGAAAGAUGGGCUCGCGUCCCAUUAGGUAGUUGGUGGGGUAACGGCCUACCAAGCCGACGAUGGGUAGCCGGACUGAGAGGUUGAUCGGCCACAUUGGAACUGAGACACGGUCCAAACUCC